AUUGAACGCUGGCGGCAGGCCUAACACAUGCAAGUCGAGCGGAUGAGUGGAGCUUGCUCCAUGAUUCAGCGGCGGACGGGUGAGUAAUGCGUAGGAAGCUACCCCGAUAGAGGGGGAUACCAGUUGGAAACGACUGUUAAUACCGCAUAAUGUCUACGGACCAAAGUGUGGGACCUUCGGGCCACAUGCUAUCGGAUGCGCCUACGUGGGAUUAGCUAGUUGGUGGGGUAAUGGCUCACCAAGGCGACGAUCCCUAGCUGGUUUGAGAGGAUGAUCAGCCACACUGGAACUGAGAUACGGCCCAGACUCCUACGGGAGGCAGCAGUGGGGAAUAUUGGACAAUGGGCGAAAGCCUGAUCCAGCAAUGCCGCGUGAGUGAUGAAGGCCUUAGGGUUGUAAAGCUCUUUUACCCGAGAUGAUAAUGACAGUAUCGGGAGAAUAAGCUCCGGCUAACUCCGUGCCAGCAGCCGCGGUAA
This 476-nucleotide ribosomal RNA is filed under the name uncultured bacterium. Its description in RNAcentral is "bacterial SSU rRNA". It matches the Rfam family "Bacterial small subunit ribosomal RNA", at positions 30 to 523 of the family's 1533-position model. The record is from RNAcentral.